UCUCUCUGCAGCCAACUUCAUAGCCUUCUAACACUUGUGGAAAGACACUUAAUCCUUCUCAUCCUGCUAUUUGUCAUGGAUUUAACAUGGUUUUCCCAGUGGUGAAGAUAAUCUGACCACAGUUUAAGUGAUAAAUUUGAGAAGAUCAAGGGAACUUUCUAAGUAAAUAUAGAAAAUCUAUUUUUGAAGGAUUAACCUGUUUCUUUGUUGAAACAUGGCUGCAGCAGUGAUGUAACUUAUACCUGUCAUCUAGCAUCAUAAAUCUCUUGCUGUUCGUGCUUCACCCUGAAAACCACCAAAAAUAUAAUGUGUCAGAAUUCACACAAAGUAACAACAAUAUUUUGUUAAAAAUCAGCUUUAGCUUUAAGUUAUUGAAAAGGACAUGCAGGCAUCAUAGUGAGGUGUGUAAUGAUUUUUACAAGCCUAGAUGAAAAUGCCCUGUGGGGUGUGUAUAGUCCGUACAGCAGGAGCUGAGCUAACUAGCCAUAAAACAAUGAUGGAUGAUAUGAAGGUUUAAACAGCCACGUGUAAAUGCCACCGUGUUUAUGAGCCGUUUCUUGGUGUUCAUGAGGGUUUGUAAAAGGCACACUUCUUGCAUACUGAGUCUCUGACUUAAUAAAAGAUAACCAAGGUUAUAAGAAUUGUUUUUUUGGGGGUUUUUUUUUGGUGGUGGUAUUUUCGGUCAUUCAUUUAUUCAAACUGAAAGCUUCUGUUAUGCUAAAACUUAUGUGACCUGUACCCUUCUUUACUCUCUGUGAAGCCCAUUCAGAACCAAAUGCAACUUCAAAUACAUGCGUCAAAAUAAUUGCACCACAGUGGUCCACUUACUAGCUUUUUACGGAGCUUUCAGCUGUAUCUAAAGACAGGAGUCAGUGGCUAGCCAGAGUAAGAUCAAGUUGACAUUAUUUUGCCGCACAUAUUGUUCCCAUGGUCAAGAAUGAACUUCUAUGCCACUGUAAAGGAACAUUCAUUUACAUUACAUGACAUUAGUUUAGCAGACAUUUUUGUCGAAAGUGGACACAGCUACAGUACAUAUACACAAGCCUGCAUGCAGAGUUGUUUUAAACCUCACGUCUCCGUCGCUGCAGUAUUUCUCCUCACACGACUGCUUCUCCCCAAUGGCUCAAUUUCUCAGUUUCCACCAUUUUAGUGUACUAGCACACAGCAAUUAAAACUCCUCACCAAACAUUCAGUCAAUGAAUUUAAAGGUGUGUAGCUCACCCCGAGAUACAGAGCGAUCAAUAUAGCCAUCUCCAAGGUGAAUCUAUAGCAGCUCCCAAUAGACACAGAAAACCGCUGCACAAAGUGUAAAGAUACAGCCAUGUUUUCAAAAAUACAAAAACAAAAUAACAGUACAUAAAAUAAAGCACAGCCUUGUCUUUCCUUUUCUUUUGGUAUUGUUGCAGUAUUCUUAUUUUCUGCAGCAGUGCAGCCAUGGGAGGAGGACUUGUUUCAGAGAAGAAAGCAGAAGAGGAGAUGAUGAAGUCAGAGGGAAGAAGAGGCAGAAUGAAAGAAACAGGCCUGCAGAAAUCACAACAGGGAGCAUCUUUCUUCCUCUGCCUCUUUAAAAGUUGCCUCCACCAGCCUAUUCUCCUGGGCAAGGCAUCGGCAGCAGAGAGGAGACAUAUUGAGAGAGAGAGACAGGAGAUAUCAGCACUCAGUAUCUAAUCUCCCUACCCUUUCUGAUGCACCCUGGAGUAACCUCUCCAGCAUCAACACAGGCAGAUAGAUAGGAGUUGACAGCUGCACAGGCUAAAACCCAGCACCCGAGCUUUACAGCUAAAGGUUGCUGUUGUGCGAGCGAGGCUCUCAUGGGGCGAGCUGACGGCACGGAUAAACAAGUGAACUGGCUUGUUGGAUGCACAUACACACACCUUUCUGCAUAGAGAAACGCACACACACUAUCCUUCCAGCACUCACUAAACUGAAGUACAUAUUCUUGCACACACAUAACACAAAAUGGGCUUUUCGAGAGGAAGCAUAUAGUCAUAUAGCUUUGCACACACACACACACACACACGAGCAGAUGUAUAGUCUGUCACUCCCUUACACUCCUUUCCUUCUCUGCCUCUAUUAAGGCUGACAUUGAUGAAUGACAGAGAUUACAGGACAGGCCGCUGCUUAGCUUCAUCACAGAAUGAAUGCAAUCAAACACAGAGACACAGAAAGCAUCAAGGGAACUUAACACUCUACAAGAUGGAGGCGGGAGAGGUAACAGUACAGACAGUGUGAAAGUCUAUGUACGAGGAGGCAAGGGUUUACUUUGUGAAAAAAGACUGAAAUACAAAGAAGAAUUUCACAUGUCAAAACUCUGGCGGACAUGUUGGAGAUCCUCAGCACUCACACAUGUUGAUGAUUGGGUCUGUGUGGCUCCACUGGAAAAUCUGAAGGUCCGGGCCUGUAAUUUUCAAUCAUCUCAGAGCAGGAAAUCAGUCCUAACAAGCCAAAAAAUUCUCAGAGAGAUGUAUUUUGGUCCAACUUUUAGGCUUAUUAGUACAAGUAUCAACCUUCAGUGUGCAAAUGUACUGUCUCUGCUGAACUCCAGACAACUCCUAACUAACCUGUUACUGUUUUGACAAGAGUGGCAUAAUUUCUGUGACCUGUGCAGAAUGCAAUCACAAGAACAUACACUAUCUCUGCAGAAACCAAGAUCUUCGCAAGUUUAACCUUUUUGGCAACAAAUGCAGCUUUGCAACAGUGAUUAUUUGGGUCUGCCACAACCAACAAUUUUGGUAAUAAUUAAUCAGACUUCAUUUCUCUUACAUUGCCUUGGAUAAUGUGCAGACUCAUUUAUUCCCCCACCCAGUGUGAAGUCAAAACGCUUUAUUACUUCCAAUUACUGAUGGCAGGGCUAUAAUAUUUUAUAACAUGUUCAUGUUGUUAUAGGCUUUGGUGUAUUUCCUAAGACUGGGUGACUUUAUAGAAAUGCCUUACUUUUUCCCACUUGUAAGGUCUAAUACUAUAUAACAGUGGAGAUUCAGAACCGUGGAAGAGAAGGUUCCAUGUUCUCCAUGGAAUGGUGUGCCACACUGGGUUUUCAACAUUACUGCUGCAUGUGGAAUAUUGUAUAACAUAUGCAAGUGCCGCAAAUCCCACUACCACAAUAGAGGAAGAUCCUGACAGUGACAAUGAUGAUGAUAUUGUACAGUAUAUUAUAUUGGUAAAUAUCAUUCUGAGGGGUUAGCUAUUAUUAACUUCCACUUCCUGAUACUCCAAACCAUAACUAUCAGAAAAACUACAAAACAUUAUCAUAAUUUCUACUUUGCGGCUCUCAGUGUUCAACAGCGACUACACAUUCUCUCCUAUGAGUAGUCAUUCUUCUGCUGAAAGUAAGUGUAGGGAGUCCUACUCUGAGGUGGAAGUGUUUUAGUCAUACAGUAGUUAAACUUUCAGCACAAUUCCAAUUCCUGUGGUUGUGAUUUAAAAACUCAGAUAAACCAUUAAGGAAAAUCACCACAAGACUAACAUUUUAAACAUGGAUUAGUCAGUUAUCCAAAUAACUAGGGAUUUGGAUAACACAUGUCCAAAUAACUCUAAUCAACAUCAAGGAAAGACUUAUUAACAAAUAGAUUUGGAUAAAUACAUUUUUCUACUUAGGCCCACAAUUCCUUGCAACCAGCACACAACUCUCAGUGGAACAACUCCUGCUGGAAGAACAUAAAGGGUUAACUAUCUCUUGUCCAAGUCCGCGCAGAAAAUCAUUAAUGACCGAUAUACAGUACUUUGAUUAUUUCAUGUUCAAAAUUAGAAGGGUUUUGAAUCCUAAAAAAGUCCCUGAAACAACAUUUUGACUCAGUGCACAAAAAGUGAUAUAAUGUUAAUGUUGUUUAUUUAUCAUAUAAUGUUAAAUAAAUAUAAUGAGGCAAUGUAAGAUGUCAAGAUAUAAAACGUUUUGUUCACAGAGUUCAUUCAUUCAGAAGCUGGAGCUGAAAAGAAAUACUGUAUCUACUAGGCUGGAGGAUGCCAGGAGGAUCACUGAGAUCACUGACCUGCAUUAUAUAAAAAGAUUCCUACCAUUGUAAAUCAGAUACAAAAAUAAGGUUUUCUUGUUCCAAUAUGGUGGUGUAAUAUAAAACAGUACUGAAGCUGUCAACUGCCAGAUAACAAGGAUGGCGAUACUACAGUUCAUACAUCUUUGUUUUGCUUAAACAAAUUAUGAUAGUGCUGAGAUUAAUUAUACCUGCAAUGCAUUCUUACUUAUUUCAAGUAUUUUAAUUCAUUUGAAGCUAUUUUUUGCAAAAAAGAAAGUCCUUGAAACAACUUGUUUCAUCCUUUACUAAUUUCUUUUUUCAGUAUAGAUAUAGCCACUAAACUAUAUUUAGAUAUAGUUUUGGGUGAUGUGAUGACAUCAACCCUUUUUAUUCCGUGGAAGAAAAUGAUUUGGGAUAAUGAUGCUGGAGCUGUGAAGGGUCUGGAAAGAGUUAGUGGAGCUUUAACUUAAGCUCAUUACAGUUGUCCAAACAAAAGUUAAGACUAAUUUGGACGCAUACCAUCCUGUACCAUGAGCUCAUUAUACACUGGCUUCAAAUCAGCCCAUUGCUAAUUGCUAUCUCCCUUUCUGUCCCGUCUUUGCUCUCUUUCUCCACGUUAUGGCAUCCAAUAAACAUGAAAUGCCACACGUAUUUUGGAGUGAGGAAGUGACUCUUAAGAAAUGGCAUUUAAAAAAACUAAACAAAUUAUAGCUGCAAGCAGCAAUAAGGCAACCUAGUUCCAGACGUGCAUAUUAGUAGUAGUGAAGGGGAAAAAAGCUGAUUUAAAGGUUUUAGUAGUUGUACAGAAUUCAUUGUUAUAGAGUUAAAUAUGAAACACUUGGUUUUUUCAAAUAAGUUUUCAAAUUCAGAAAAAAAUGUUUCCACAAUUAAGUCAUUUAGCAUCACUUCAGAAGGAUUUGUCACUAUAAGGGUUUCAAGUGUACCCCGUUAGGUUACCUUGACUUUAUUGAGCAUGUACAUGUCAGUCAGUCAGCCAGUCAGUAAGGUCGUGUUCAGACAGACACCCGCACUGCAUUGGCAACACAGGGUCAUCCAGCAAAAAAGUUGGGCUCAACUUUUACCACAACACAAUGCAGCUCCAGCCAGCAAGGUGCUGCGUUGGCCAGUCCAACAUGUGCAAGCAUCUCAACUAAAAUGAUUGCCACCGUGAUAACUUUCCAACUUCAACUUCAUUAUUAAGGAUUAGAUUAUUUUUAUUAUAGUCAAGGACAUAAAAACAAUACAAAAAUAUUUAUUAAAAAUAAUAAAUAAAUAUAUCAAAUAUCAAAUUCCUUAUAAAGUGGAUGAUCAGGAGAGUUAAGAAUAAAUUACUGAUGGCCCCAUCAACGCAGCCCAUUGAGUUUUUUCAACGCAGGGCUGUUUGUGGUCAUUCUCCCAGACCACAUCGCCUCUACAGUCUGACAGACCAACAUUUGAGUCAUAGAUUCAUGAGUUUGAGGAGAUUCAUCACGUUAUUCUCAGAUGCUUAGACCAGCAGGUAAAUAGUAUAAACAGUUCACAUCACAAAGUGUUCACAUAACCAGAAAUGUGUGCUUACACAGGUUUUUUUUACCCAGUGCUUUUGUCUGUCUGAACACUGCCUUAUUACACAUGGAAAAUUAAAGAAACAAAUCUGAAUAGAUUCACACUCACACAUCAUUUGGGACUGGAUUGUUGGUGUUUUUGUUCAUCAGAGAGCAGUUUUAGUAAACAGAAAGAAAGCUACUAGAUAUUUGUGUCUGGUUGCCUAAUAAAAAAUCAAGGUGAUAUACUGUAGUAGGUGGACAGAGUACAGGGACUUUGUGUGCUGUGACUGUGAAUACAACACUGGAGCUUGUUAGUAGUCUGGCAGGGCUGUAAUUUAUUGUUGCUCAGUGAGUAAAAGCUACAAAACAAAAUGGAACAUCCUGAUAUUAAAGCUAAACACAAAUUCGCCUGAACUGUUAGGAUUUUGAUUAAAUAAAAAUACGAAAUAAUAAAAUACAUUUUGCUUAACACAAUCUUUUUUUUAACCAUAUUUGUGUGAUGUGUGAAACUAGUUGUGCAAACUAGGAAGAGAGGACCAUCAUUUUCAAAUAACUGUGCAGUCUCAGCUCAGUACAGCUCAUUACAUUAAGAAAAAAAAUCUAACUAAAAAGCACCUCAGGGCUCCAGACAGCAGCACAAGGAGCUGACGGGAAAAAAGAGGCACCUGGCCUACUUUCCAAAACUUACCCAGAAUUUUAAAGUAAAUCACAUUCGAUUAAUCAGAGGUGAAAAAAAACUCCUUUCCUGUGAUAGGCGAGUGUCUGCCCUGCCUGCAUCAGUACUGGAUCUUUUCAUCUUCUCAGCGGCUGCCACACCUCUGCCACAUUAACACGUUUAGAAAGAGGGAAAGAAAGAGAAAAGGAAGGGAGAAAAGAGGAGAGUGAGAGAAGAGUGAGACACAGCCUAAAAAGAUUGAGGAAAAGGCGAACAACAAAGAGAGAGCAUGACUUUGACACAGUAGAUUAAAAAAGAAUAACAGGCUCGAAAAGUGUCACAUCUAAUAGGGACACGACACAUCAAACCUCCUAUGAGACGCCAAGCUGUCAGACAGGAACAACGCUCUCUAAAAACAGAAUGAGCUGCGUCUUUGCAGCACUAAUCAGAGCCGACGUUGGGAAUACAACUCCUCGGUUGUAAUCUAUUUGCAGCAUAAGCUAAGCUUCAUUUAUAGGAGAUUUCAUUUGCAGCGUGUUUGUCUUUCUGAAACUACAAUUUGGUUGAGUUAAUGAGCUCGACAUAUUGUACAGCUCAGGACAACAGCGAGACAUCAGAGCUUAUCGGGGGCUCACUGUUACAAGCACAAUAAUAUUUAAUCUAUAGAGAAUGACAAAUGAUCUGUUUACAUCAUUAAUGAGACAUGCACCAAAGCAUGUAAUGGGUAACAUGGGAAUUGGGAAAGUUUCCAAUAUAAACUUGCUUUAAUUCUGUGAAUUUGGACUUAACUGGACACUAACACCUGUAGAAAGAUUAUCAAGUAGAAAGUAGUCAGAAUAAGCUGCAAUAAUGUGUCUAUUAGCUGUUCAUUCUCCUAUUAAAAGCAUGUCAUGCCUUUCAUUUUGAACAAAAUCUCAUCUGAAAUAACCCGGUCUGGGAAGACAUUUAACUGAAAACGUACUGGAAAGAAGGCAAAAUGGCCACUGCGUAGAAAUGCAGUGAAAACAAGCAAAGCCAGGAAUCUUGGGAGAGAAAACAAGGAAAUGUAUGAGUCAAAAUGUACAGCUGGGUAAAGCAACUCUCAAGUCAAAAGGUGAUUUGAUAUGCAUCAGAUUUUCAUUACUAAUCCAUUGUCUUAAGUUAUAGCUUCAGCACUGAGCAGUUUCAUGGUUAAAGCACCCCUUUAGUAGCUGGAUGUGCAGCAUGCUCUCAUCACUGAUACCAUGUCAUGUUCAGGGCUAUGUAGCUCCAAUACUGAGCUCUCUGGCCAAAGUGUUCCUCUCUGAGCAGCACAGUCAGAUGCAGACAGAAGUCCACCCGAGGGACAGUUAAGCACAGCUCUGAGCGGCCUCAUCCACAGCCGUUGGAGAAUGUCUCAGCUAUGACAUUUCUGGGACUUCCUUCAGCAUUAAGGGCCAAUGCUCACUCUCUGUGGAACCAACUGUCACUGUCCCGCAGAAACCUAGUAUGGAAAAUAUCCACUUUAUUUUUAAUUUGUUUUUUACCUCAACAUCAUUUUAACAUAGAGAAAAUUCAAUAAAAGAACAGUUUUGGGAACAUUUAGGAAAAUAUGCUUAUUCCAAUCCAGCUGCGUACUUAACGCACAGACAUGAAAGUGGUUUGAAUCUUUUAAUCUAACUCUAUUAUUCUGUAAUUCCCAAAAAUGUCAAAUUAUUUAACUCUGGUACGAACUCAAUGCACUAAGUUUGUACCAGUUAUAUAGAUAUUAAUUUAUAGACAACUAUUCAAAAUCAUGCACACACGCAAAAAAACGUUUUUUUCUUCAGAUUGUUUUGGGUUAAGAAGAUGACAUAUUCAUUUGAUACAAGUUUGCAUUUCACAUUUCCGUGAUCAACUACUACAACUAUUGUAUUACAAUGAUUAACCGUUGGCAGAAAAUUAAUUAAUGUUGCUAAAAGCAAAAAUGCCAAAUAUUCAGUGGUUUCAGUCUCUGAAAUGUGAGAAUUUAUUGCCUUUCUCUGUUUUAUAUCAUUGUAAAUUGAAUAUCUUUGGUUUUGGACAGUUGGUCAGACAAAUUGAGCAAUCUGAGAACGUCACAUUAGAAUCUGGGCAACUGCAAUGAGCAUUUUUCACCAAUUUUUUUCAACAUUUUAUGGUUUAACAAGUAACUGAUAAAUUAAAAAAGAUAUCUGAUAGAUUAAUCAAUGAAAUUAAAUGAAAAUAUAUAAGUUGCAGCACUAAUAAUGAGCAAUACAUUCUGAAGGACACUCAUUAAAUACAACUAAGUCUAACCAGCAGGAUUCAGUAUCUAUCUGGACUACAGCUGUCAUCUGCAGUGCAGCCAACCAAUACAAACCACACUGAGAAAAAACCAUUUACUUUUAUGCUGUUCUACCUGAGUGUAAGGGUAUUAGCGUGUUUGUGUAUAUGUGAGUGUUUACAUAUUUAAUUCGACACUGCCCACAGGUAUGAAGCUGUUCAGCUCAGCAGAGCUUUGUAAAUACCAUGCAGGGCCUCAAAGAUGGCCAAGAGCCUAUUAUUUGGCCAUGAAAGACAGACAUGUGAAUCACUGGCAGCCAGCUAAAGAAGGGAAAGAGCAUGAUUGGAUUCAAGCAAAGUGUGCCUGUCAGUGUGUGUGUGUGUGUGUGUGUGUGUGUGUGAACGCCAAACAAUACUUUGAACGACUACACAUGUGUAUGCCAGUUAAUUUGGCUCGAGUUUGGGUAAUUGUAGUUGCGGAACCAACCAGUCGACAGAGUCAUUCACAGGCUACAAUCGAACACAAAUAAACACACCAUGUCUGUGUCCAUAUACAUACACACCCACUGUGUAGGAAAGAGGCUCUCCACAGUGGUGCAAUUAGGCCUGGUCACUGCAGAGUCGUAAUGGAUAACCCUGUCUGAAAAUGGCCGGGGGUAGCACACAUAAUUGAGCAUGCUGUGUCUCUGUGCUUGCAUGUGUGUGUGCUUCACAAGGGAGGGCUGCAAAAAUGGCAUUUCUUGCUGCUAGCAGGACCUAAUGAAUGUGGAGUUUGAAGCCUCGUGCCUUCAUAUGUGGAUACUGGGUGGUCCGGGGUUGGAAAUCAGAAGCGUGUGUAACACUUAGCAUUAAAAGAGUAAACUUUAGCCUUUUUAGUCUUCACAUAUAUUCAUAGAACUAAAAAAGCUCUCUGCUUAUAUAGUACAACAUACGGUGUAGGUGCAUAAAAUGUAAAGGAAUGGGCAUUUUUAUAUAUUUGUAUGCUCUUCUGUUGUUGUCUACAAUGCUUGUAUAGACUUUGUUACAGCUAGGGUUGAGUUUAGAUAACCAGUCACAUUUUAGAUUGAGAUCCAAGUUGAAAACAUUCCAAAAUGUGUUCAGCUCCGAGUCUAAAGCCUAAAGUCUAAAGCUUUGUCAUUCAGACAUACAGUAUGUGUCCAUUAUGUAAAUGUUUAUUAUGGCUUUAUUUCGACAUGACAGGACCUUUAUGGAAAGAGCCACAAUGCUGGUGCAAUAUUUGGAACCUGGUGCAGAGAGGGAGUGGUGCUAGAGAACAGCGAUGAGUUAAAAAGUGUCUGUCAAGGAGGAGGUUUGUUUUCUGUCUUCUCACAGGCUGCAUCAGUGAGAUUUUAAAACUUAUUUUGCCGUUUUCCCUCACUUCUUACUUGUAAAUCCCUUUAUACAUUUUCUCAUCAAUUUCACCAUUUAUUAGAUAGUGAAUUCUGCUGUCCCACUGUGCACAAGCAUAGAAUGACACAACAUUAAUUUGGGUCUCUCAUUUAAUUCCUGUUUGCUCAUACAUAGUAUGUAAAGCAUUACGGGUAUUCAUAAUUUCAUCCAUGCAGUUGGCAUGGAUUAUGGAUUAUUACUGCACCGCGAGGGGAAAAAACAAUUUUUAUAGACAUGAGGAGAAUCUCCGCAGGGUUUCUAGGUUAAUCAAACUGAUUUUAUUUUCUUUGUGCAUAAGAGAUGAUAGCUGACUGACUGCAUUUAUUGCUAUGCUGUUAAUGAGGCAUAACAAGGCAUGCGUUUAAUCUCUCUCUGUGUAUUUAUCCUUGUGUUGCUGUGGCCUUUACGAUAAUGUAUAUAUGUAACAUGAAUAUGUUACCAAGUCUGACCUAAUAAGAUUGCCGUUGUGACUCAAGCACUUAGUAAUAUAUUCAUUUUUGAAAGGGGCUUGGCAAAUCUCUUGACAAUUUUUUUUUAAAUUUCAAAUCUGUUUAAGUAACAAAGAGCAAUAUACAAUAAAUCCAGAUUGCCAUUCAGCUAAAUAUCCCGUAUGUAAUCUAUCUUUGUUUGUGUAAAAUGAAAAAAAUAAGAACUAAACUUAGAACUAAAACUAAAGUUAUUUAUAAUGUUUUACUUAGAAUUAUAUAAAUAAUUUGAAUUGAAACUACGUGAUGCUUAUAUUGAGAGAAAUAUUUAAACCCAGCAAUGUUUUUAUGACUGCACUAUUAAAUCAAAUAAAAAUA
This is a long non-coding RNA of Siniperca chuatsi (mandarin fish), 10564 nucleotides long. RefSeq lists it as uncharacterized. Lineage: Eukaryota; Metazoa; Chordata; Actinopteri; Centrarchiformes; Sinipercidae. The record is from RefSeq and is a predicted model, not a curated record. The transcript is spliced from 2 exons.